AUACGGAGGGGGCUAGCGUUGUUCGGAAUUACUGGGCGUAAAAGCGCACGUAGGCGGACUUGAAAGUCAGAGGUGAAAUCCCAGGGCUCAACCUUGGAACUGCCUUUGAAACUCCUGGUCUUGAGGUCGUGAGAGGUGAGUGGAAUUCCGAGUGUAGAGGUGAAAUUCGUAGAUAUUCGGAGGAACACCAGUGGCGAAGGCGGCUCACUGGCACGAUACUGACGCUGAGGUGCGAAAGCGUGGGGAGC
RNAcentral lists this ribosomal RNA (248 nucleotides) under uncultured bacterium. Its description in RNAcentral is "partial 16S ribosomal RNA". It matches the Rfam family "Bacterial small subunit ribosomal RNA", at positions 523 to 769 of the family's 1533-position model. The record is from RNAcentral.